GAUGAAGAACGUAGCGAAAUGCGAUAAGUAAUGUGAAUUGCAGAAUUCAGUGAAUCAUCGAAUCUUUGAACGCACCUUGCGCUCUCUGGUAUUCCGGAGAGCAUGCCUGUUUGAGUAUCAUGAAAUCUCAACCAUUAGGGUUUCUUAAUGGCUUGGAUUUGGGCGUUGCCAGUUGCCUGGCUCGCCUUAAAAGAGUUAGCGUGUUUAACUUGUCAUAUCUGGCGUAAUAAGUUUCGCUGGUGUACGACUUGAGAAGUGCGCUUCUAAUCGUCCUCGGACAACUCUUGAACUCUGGUCUCAAAUCAGGUAGGACUACCCGCUGAACUUAAGCAUAUCAAUAAGCGGAGGA
Molecule: unclassified non-coding RNA, 349 nt
Filed under: soil metagenome
Description: partial contains 5.8S ribosomal RNA, internal transcribed spacer 2, and large subunit ribosomal RNA
Rfam family: 5.8S ribosomal RNA (bases 1-120)
Source: RNAcentral